This 29-nucleotide non-coding RNA is filed under the name Mus musculus (house mouse). The record is from RNAcentral. Lineage: Eukaryota; Metazoa; Chordata; Mammalia; Rodentia; Muridae.
UCCUAGAUUCUCUUGGCCCAAAGGUUGGU